GACACUAUGGCCGAGUGGUCUAAGGCGAUUGAUUAGAAAUCAAUUCUCUUCGGGGGCGGCGGUUCGAAUCCGCCUGGUGUCG
Molecule: non-coding RNA, 82 nt
Organism: Monascus purpureus
Lineage: Eukaryota; Fungi; Ascomycota; Eurotiomycetes; Eurotiales; Aspergillaceae
Source: the annotation of a GenBank genome assembly